RNAcentral lists this ribosomal RNA (496 nucleotides) under uncultured bacterium. RNAcentral's name for it is "bacterial SSU rRNA". It matches the Rfam family "Bacterial small subunit ribosomal RNA", at positions 30 to 504 of the family's 1533-position model. The record is from RNAcentral.
CGAACGCUGGCGGCGUGCCUAACACAUGCAAGUCGAGCGAGAACGCCUCCUUCGGGGGGUUAGUAAAGCGGCGAACGGGUGAGUAACACGUGAGCGAUCUACCCGGCGGCGGGGGAUAACUCAGGGAAACUUGAGCUAAUACCGCAUACAGCACUGGCUUGGAAGCUAGAUGUGAAAGCUGGCCUCUCGAAGAAGCUGGCACCGUCGGAUGAGCUCGCGGCCUAUCAGCUAGUUGGUGGGGUAACGGCCUACCAAGGCGAUGACGGGUAGCUGGCGUGAGAGCGUGGCCAGCCACACUGGGACUGAGACACGGCCCAGACUCCUACGGGAGGCAGCAGUGGGGAAUAUUGCGCAAUGGGCGAAAGCCUGACGCAGCGACGCCGCGUGGGGGAGGAAGGCCUCAGGGUCGUAAACCCCUGUCAGGUGGGACGAACCACGGAUCGGUCAAUACCCGGUCCGCCUGACGGUACCACCAGAGGAAGCUCCGGCUAACUCC